GGGUCAGUAGGUUGGUCGUGCCACCGGUACGUACUGGUCUCACUGAUUCCUCCUUCCUGAAGAACCGUAAUGCCAUUAAUUUGGUGUUGCGGGGAAACAGGACUGUUACUUUGAAAAAAUUAGAGUGUUUAAAGCAAGCUAACGCUUGAAUACAUUAGCAUGGAAUAAUGAAAUAGGACGAUCGAUCCUAUUUUGUUGUUUUCUAGGAUUGACGUA
RNAcentral lists this ribosomal RNA (216 nucleotides) under Glomeromycotina sp. Its description in RNAcentral is "partial small subunit ribosomal RNA". The stretch from base 40 to 216 matches the Rfam family "Eukaryotic small subunit ribosomal RNA", at positions 686 to 864 of the family's 1831-position model. Lineage: Eukaryota; Fungi; Glomeromycota. The record is from RNAcentral.